AGGCACCAAUCUUUCCACCCUUUAGUAGGACUAGGCCAAGAACGGAAAGUGUCUUUCCACAGAUCUAAAGAGAAGUUUUCAACCCUAAAGGGGAUCCUAUUUGUCUCUACAUUUAUUAAAUCGGUAGGAUCUGGAUUUCCCAAUGGACCAAGACACUAGAAGUGAGGUUGAUCGGUAGGGAUUACAAUCUUAUCAGCCAUUUCCUAAAAGAUUUGGAGG
RNAcentral lists this long non-coding RNA (219 nucleotides) under Sorghum bicolor (sorghum). Its description in RNAcentral is "long non-coding RNA (SBIC_LNC016499)". Lineage: Eukaryota; Viridiplantae; Streptophyta; Magnoliopsida; Poales; Poaceae. The record is from RNAcentral.